AGUAUUAUAUUUUAUAAUUAAAAAUAUUAAAUUGCAAAUUUAAAGAUAGGGUAUUAAUACCUUAGUACUU
RNAcentral lists this transfer RNA (70 nucleotides) under Nebrioporus cooperi. Its description in RNAcentral is "tRNA-Cys". Lineage: Eukaryota; Metazoa; Arthropoda; Insecta; Coleoptera; Dytiscidae. The record is from RNAcentral.